This 468-nucleotide ribosomal RNA is filed under the name uncultured bacterium. Its description in RNAcentral is "partial 16S ribosomal RNA". It matches the Rfam family "Bacterial small subunit ribosomal RNA", at positions 36 to 507 of the family's 1533-position model. The record is from RNAcentral.
UCCUCCCUCUGGCGGCGUGCUUAACACAUGCAAGUCGAACGGAAAGGCCCUGCUUUUGUGGGGUGCUCGAGUGGCGAACGGGUGAGUAACACGUGAGUAACCUGCCCUUGACUUUGGGAUAACUUCAGGAAACUGGGGCUAAUACCGGAUAGGAGCUCCUGCUGCAUGGUGGGGGUUGGAAAGUUUCGGCGGUUGGGGAUGGACUCGCGGCUUAUCAGCUUGUUGGUGGGGUAGUGGCUUACCAAGGCUUUGACGGGUAGCCGGCCUGAGAGGGUGACCGGCCACAUUGGGACUGAGAUACGGCCCAGACUCCUACGGGAGGCAGCAGUGGGGAAUAUUGCACAAUGGGCAGAAGCCUGAUGCAGCAACGCCGCGUGCGGGAUGACGGCCUUCGGGUUGUAAACCGCUUUCGCCUGUGACGAAGCGUGAGUGACGGUAAUGGGUAAAGAAGCACCGGCUAACUACGUG